GUCUUUUUGAUAAUAAUUUAAAGUCUAGCCUGCCCAAUGAGGAGUUGAAUGGCCGCGGUAAUUUGACCGUGCAAAGGUAGCAUAAUCAUUAGUUUUUUAAUUGAAAGCUGGUAUGAACGGCUGGACGAGAAAGUGACUGUCUCAAUUUAAUUGUGAUUAGAAUUUUAUCUAUAAGUAAAAAAGCUUAUAUAAUUUUAAAAGACGAGAAGACCCUAUAGAAUUUUAUAAUUACAUUUUUAUAUUAUGAUUGGGAUUGUAAGUUUAAUAGAUUUGGGGUUAUUUUGUUGGGGCGACAGAAAAAUUAAGUUAACUUUUUCUUUUUUUGUAUCAUUGAUUUAUGUUUACUUGAUCCGUUUAUAACGAUUAUAAGAUUAAAUUACCUUAGGGAUAACAGCGUAAUUUUUUUUUAGAGUUCUUAUCGAAAAAAGAGUUUGCGACCUCGAUGUUGGAUUAAAAUUAACUUUUGGUGUAGGGGCUAAAAGGUUAGGUCUGUUCGACCUUUAAAAUUUUACAUGAUCUGAGU
Molecule: ribosomal RNA, 523 nt
Filed under: Megaceras septentrionis
Lineage: Eukaryota; Metazoa; Arthropoda; Insecta; Coleoptera; Scarabaeidae
Description: partial 16S ribosomal RNA
Rfam family: Bacterial large subunit ribosomal RNA
Source: RNAcentral